GAUGAACGCUGGCGGCGUGCCUAAUACAUGCGAGUCGAGCGAAUAGACGAGGAGCUUGCUCCUCUGACGUUAGCGGCGGACGGGUGAGUAACACGUGGAUAACCUACCUAUAAGACUGGGAUAACUUCGGGAAACCGGAGCUAAUACCGGAUAAUAUAUUGAACCGCAUGGUUCAAUAGUGAAAGACGGUUUUGCUGUCACUUAUAGAUGGAUCCGCGCCGCAUUAGCUAGUUGGUAAGGUAACGGCUUACCAAGGCAACGAUGCGUAGCCGACCUGAGAGGGUGAUCGGCCACACUGGAACUGAGACACGGUCCAGACUCCUACGGGAGGCAGCAGUAGGGAAUCUUCCGCAAUGGGCGAAAGCCUGACGGAGCAACGCCGCGUGAGUGAUGAAGGUCUUCGGAUCGUAAAACUCUGUUAUUAGGGAAGAACAAAUGUGUAAGUAACUAUGCACGUCUUGACGGUACCUAAUCAGAAAGCCACGGCUAACUACGUG
This 497-nucleotide ribosomal RNA is filed under the name uncultured bacterium. RNAcentral's name for it is "partial 16S ribosomal RNA". It matches the Rfam family "Bacterial small subunit ribosomal RNA", at positions 28 to 507 of the family's 1533-position model. The record is from RNAcentral.